This 326-nucleotide ribosomal RNA is filed under the name uncultured bacterium. RNAcentral describes it as "bacterial SSU rRNA". It matches the Rfam family "Bacterial small subunit ribosomal RNA", at positions 588 to 916 of the family's 1533-position model. The record is from RNAcentral.
UCAGUGGUGAAAUCCUAUAGCUUAACUAUGGAACUGCCAUUGAUACUGAUAUUCUUGAGUGUAAAUGAAGUGGGCGGAAUAUGUCAUGUAGCGGUGAAAUGCAUAGAUAUGACAUGGAACACCAAUUGCGAAGGCAGCUCACUAAACUAUUACUGACGCUAAUGAACGAAAGCAUGGGGAGCAAACAGGAUUAGAUACCCUGGUAGUCCAUGCCGUAAACUAUGAUCACUAGAUGUUGGCGAUAUACUGUCAGUGUUUAAGAGAAAUCGUUAAGUGAUCCACCUGGGGAGUACGUUCGCAAGAAUGAAACUCAAAGAAUUUGACGG